GAGCCUGCUGGGGACGGCACCUUAGGCUGGGAGGUGGUGGUGGAGAUGCUCCAGACUCCGUGCUUCUGCUGAUGAGACGUUCUCCGAUCCCCAGCCUCUGCAAUGGUCCUCCCCGUCCGCCGGAGUCAGCCCCCCUCGGCCAACACCUCCCAGCAUCCCUGGACUAAAGAGAAUUGUCCCCCAGAUACAUGGGAAGGGAUGGGCCCCAGACGCCGCCCUAGAAAGCCAGAGGGCUCAGACGGCCUUCAGACAGCCUGUCCCCAAUUCAUCUCCCGGUGCCUGAGAGUUGGGGGUGGAAACAUCCACGCCAACCCCCUCAGAGGUGUCUGGAGGCAGAGACAUGAGCGGGCUUUAGGGAAAACAUAAAGUUUGCUUCAGAUGCAA
Herpailurus yagouaroundi (jaguarundi) is the source of this 384-nucleotide long non-coding RNA. RefSeq lists it as uncharacterized. The transcript is spliced from 2 exons. The record is from RefSeq and is a predicted model, not a curated record. NCBI's taxonomy places the organism in Eukaryota, Metazoa, Chordata, Mammalia, Carnivora, Felidae.